RNAcentral lists this ribosomal RNA (472 nucleotides) under Streptomyces sp. M1C17. RNAcentral's name for it is "partial 16S ribosomal RNA". It matches the Rfam family "Bacterial small subunit ribosomal RNA", at positions 380 to 862 of the family's 1533-position model. Lineage: Bacteria; Bacillati; Actinomycetota; Actinomycetes; Kitasatosporales; Streptomycetaceae. The record is from RNAcentral.
UACCUGAUGCAGCGACGCCUNGUGANAGGAUGACGGCCUUCGGGUUGUAAACCUCUUUCAGCAGGGAAGAAGCGAAAGUGACGGUACCUGCAGAAGAAGCGCCGGCUAACUACGUGCCAGCAGCCGCGGUAAUACGUAGGGCGCAAGCGUUGUCCGGAAUUAUUGGGCGUAAAGAGCUCGUAGGCGGCUUGUCACGUCGGAUGUGAAAGCCCGAGGCUUAACCUCGGGUCUGCAUUCNAUACGGGCUANCUAGAGUGUGGUAGGGGAGAUCGNAAUUCCUGGUGUAGCGGUGAANUGCGCANAUAUCAGGAGGAACACCGGUGGCGAAGGCGGAUCUCUGGGCCAUUACUGACNCUGAGGANCGAAAGCGUGGGGAGCGANCAGGAUUAGAUACCCUGGUAGUCCACGCCGUAAACGUUGGGAACUAGGUGUUGGCGACAUUCCACGUCGUCGGUGCCNCACUAACGCAUUA